GAUGAACGCUGGCGGCGUGCCUAAUACAUGCAAGUCGAGCGAACAGACGAGGAGCUUGCUCCUCUGACGUUAGCGGCGGACGGGUGAGUAACACGUGGAUAACCUACCUAUAAGACUGGGAUAACUUCGGGAAACCGGAGCUAAUCCCGGAUAAUAUAUUGAACCGCAUGGUUCAAUAUUGAAAGACGGUUUUGCUGUCACUUAUAGAUGGAUCCGCGCCGCAUUAGCUAGUUGGUAAGGUAACGGCUUACCAAGGCAACGAUGCGUAGCCGACCUGAGAGGGUGAUCGGCCACACUGGAACUGAGACACGGUCCAGACUCCUACGGGAGGCAGCAGUAGGGAAUCUUCCGCAAUGGGCGAAAGCCUGACGGAGCAACGCCGCGUGAGUGAUGAAGGUCUUCGGAUCGUAAAACUCUGUUAUUAGGGAAGAACAAAUGUGUAAGUAACUAUGCACGUCUUGACGGUACCUAAUCAGAAAGCCACGGCUAACUACGUG
RNAcentral lists this ribosomal RNA (497 nucleotides) under uncultured bacterium. Its description in RNAcentral is "partial 16S ribosomal RNA". It matches the Rfam family "Bacterial small subunit ribosomal RNA", at positions 28 to 507 of the family's 1533-position model. The record is from RNAcentral.